GAAGAUAUAGCUCAGCAGUAGAGGGUACGCUUAGCACGUGUGAGGUCCAGGGUUCAAUCCCCGGUACCUCCA
Molecule: transfer RNA, 72 nt
Filed under: Camelus bactrianus (Bactrian camel)
Lineage: Eukaryota; Metazoa; Chordata; Mammalia; Artiodactyla; Camelidae
Also listed under: 1 other name
Rfam family: tRNA
About the family: Transfer RNA (tRNA) molecules are approximately 80 nucleotides in length. Their secondary structure includes four short double-helical elements and three loops (D, anti-codon, and T loops). Further hydrogen bonds mediate the characteristic L-shaped molecular structure. tRNAs have two regions of fundamental functional importance: the anti-codon, which is responsible for specific mRNA codon recognition, and the 3' end, to which the tRNAs corresponding amino acid is attached (by aminoacyl-tRNA synthetases). tRNAs cope with the degeneracy of the genetic code in two manners: having more than one tRNA (with a specific anti-codon) for a particular amino acid; and 'wobble' base-pairing, i.e. permitting non-standard base-pairing at the 3rd anti-codon position.
Source: Rfam by way of RNAcentral